This 404-nucleotide unclassified non-coding RNA is filed under the name soil metagenome. RNAcentral's name for it is "partial contains 5.8S ribosomal RNA, internal transcribed spacer 2, and large subunit ribosomal RNA". The stretch from base 1 to 121 matches the Rfam family "5.8S ribosomal RNA", at positions 35 to 154 of the family's 154-position model. The record is from RNAcentral.
GAUGAAGAACGCAGCGUAAUGCGAUAAGUAAUGUGAAUUGCAGAAUUCAGUGAAUCAUCGAAUCUUUGAACGCACCUUGCGCCCUUUGGCCAUUCCGAAGGGCAUGCCUGUUUGAGUAUCAUGAACACCUCAACUCUUCAUGGUCUUCUAUGAUGAGCUUGGACUUUGGGGGCUUGCUGGCCCAUUUGGUCAGCUCCUCUCAAAUAAAUCAGCCUACCAGUGUUUGGUGGCACCACAGGUGUGAUAACAAUCUACGCUUGAGGUUUUCCACCAGGCAACCUUCAGUAAUUGGGGUUCACUGGGGCUCACAAAUGUCUUUCUUCAGUGAGGACAGCUCUUUGAAUGUUUGAUCUCAAAUCAGGUAGGACUACCCGCUGAACUUAAGCAUAUCAAUAAGCGGAGGA